GCAGAUUCCCGCCCCCACCUCUGAGAUUCCCCGUGGUUCUGCCCUAAGUAUUGACGGGUAAGAAGGCAGGCCUUUGGCUUACCACUGUGACUGUCCCAAGGGAUGGCAACUGCAUGGUGACCUCCGGAUCCUCACUAGAGGGAUCCCUGUGACCAUCCUGAGAGAUGACAGUGCAUGGUGUCCCUCUGACAACUCCCACAUCCCUGAGCCUGACACUGUCCUGUGUUGUCACCUAUGCCCAUCCCUGCUGGCCUCCCAUGUGUCUGUCCCACUGGCCUGCUUGUCUCUCAGGACUUUGGCAUCCAUCGGGCCAUGUACCUCUGGAGGACGUGGGACAGCCGGAAUCUAGCAUGCCUAACCCCAUUCUGCAUAUCAGCAGGAUGCAUCCUGUGUGGGUCCAGGGUCUCCCCUGACCACCUUACCUACUCUGUAUCCCUGUAGCUCUGGGUCUGGACUCUCCUGCCAUAAGAGGGUGGGCACACCUGGCAUUCCUAGCUGCUCCCCCUCCCCAUAGGCAGGGUCUCAUGGAACCCACACUGGCUUCCAACUCUAUACGUAGCUGAGGCUUAACCUUGAAUUUUAUUUACCCUCCAUCUCCCAAAUGCUAAAGUUACCAAACUGUACCACCAUACCUAGCAACACCCGCUUCUCAAGGAUGGUAAGCAGCUGUAGGCCGCCAUGUAGGUCCAUGCCCUUUUCUAAGUGCCUGGCAUAGCACAUCUCCCCAUGGCUGUCCAUUAACUCAGCAAUGGCCAAACAUCGGAGAGCACUGACCUAUCUUCCAGUUCAAUAUAACACUCAUUAGCAUUAGUGUGCCCUCUCCCUCCCCACUGCCCACCCCACUCUGAAACAGUGUGUCACUCUGUAUAUACUAGACUGGCCUUGAGCUUGCAACAGCCCCCUGCCUCUGUCUUCCAAGUGCUGGGGUUACAGACCCGAAACUCAUAAUUUGGCUCAAGGCCUUUUAUUCUAAAAAGUAUAUAAGACAUCUCUUUAAAGGAUUUAAUGUUUGGUAUUAAACGAGGUGGUGGAGCAAUAAAAAAAAUGCAAGUA
This 1053-nucleotide long non-coding RNA is filed under the name Rattus norvegicus (Norway rat). RNAcentral describes it as "long non-coding RNA NONRATT017696". Lineage: Eukaryota; Metazoa; Chordata; Mammalia; Rodentia; Muridae. The record is from RNAcentral.